RNAcentral lists this ribosomal RNA (540 nucleotides) under Cortinarius gracilior. RNAcentral describes it as "eukaryotic LSU rRNA". The stretch from base 222 to 375 matches the Rfam family "5.8S ribosomal RNA". The record is from RNAcentral. Lineage: Eukaryota; Fungi; Basidiomycota; Agaricomycetes; Agaricales; Cortinariaceae.
GCUGCUGGUUCUUUCUCUAGGGAACAUGUGCACGCUUGUCAUCUUUAUAUCUCCACCUGUGCACCUUUUGUAGACCUUGAUAUCUUUCUGAGUGCUAGUCACGCAGGUUUGAGGAUUGACUUUAUGUCUUUCCUUACAUUUCUCGGUCUAUGUUUCUUAAUAUACUCCAAUGUAUGUUUUAGAAUGUAGUCAAAUGGGCCUUUGUGCCUAUAGAACUAUACAACUUUCAGCAACGGAUCUCUUGGCUCUCGCAUCGAUGAAGAACGCAGCGAAAUGCGAUAAGUAAUGUGAAUUGCAGAAUUCAGUGAAUCAUCGAAUCUUUGAACGCACCUUGCGCUCCUUGGUAUUCCGAGGAGCAUGCCUGUUUGAGUGUCAUUAAUGUAUGUCAACCUCUUUUGAGUGUUGGAUGUGGGGGUCUUGUUUUGCUGGCCUUUUGUCCAAGAAGGUCAGCUCCCCUUAAAUGCAUUAGCGGAACCUUGUGUGGACCGUUCAUUGGUGUGAUAAUUAUCUACACUAUUGACGUGAAGCAGUUCAGCUUCU